UACGAGGGGGGCGAGCGUUGUUCGGAAUUACUGGGCGUAAAGCGCACGUAGGCGGCUUUGUAAGUAAGAGGUGAAAGCCUGGAGCUCAACUCCAGAAUAGCCUUUUAGACUGCAUCGCUUGAAUCAUGGAGAGGUGAGUGGAAUUCCGAGUGUAGAGGUGAAAUUCGUAGAUAUUCGGAAGAACACCAGUGGCGAAGGCGGCUCACUGGACUGGUAUUGACGCUGAGGUGCGAAAGCGUGGGGAGCAAACAGG
This 253-nucleotide ribosomal RNA is filed under the name uncultured bacterium. RNAcentral's name for it is "partial 16S ribosomal RNA". It matches the Rfam family "Bacterial small subunit ribosomal RNA", at positions 524 to 776 of the family's 1533-position model. The record is from RNAcentral.